This 245-nucleotide ribosomal RNA is filed under the name uncultured bacterium. Its description in RNAcentral is "partial 16S ribosomal RNA". It matches the Rfam family "Bacterial small subunit ribosomal RNA", at positions 524 to 768 of the family's 1533-position model. The record is from RNAcentral.
UACGGAGGGUGCAAGCGUUGUCCGGAAUCACUGGGCGUAAAGCGCGCGCAGGCGGCCCGUUAUGUCGGGUGUGAAAUCCCUCGGCUCAACUGAGGAAUUGCGCCCGAAACUGGCGGGCUUGAGUGCGGGAGGGGGAGGUGGAAUUCCCGGUGUAGAGGUGAAAUUCGUAGAUAUCGGGAAGAAUACCGGUGGCGAAGGCGACCUCCUGGCCCGUUACUGACGCUCAGGCGCGAAAGCGUGGGGAG